UACACACCGCCCGUCACACCAUGGGAGUCGAUUGCUCCAGAAGUGGCCGUGCUAACCCGCAAGGGAAGCAGGUCCCCAAGGAGUGGUCGGUAACUGGGGUG
RNAcentral lists this ribosomal RNA (101 nucleotides) under uncultured bacterium. RNAcentral describes it as "partial 16S ribosomal RNA". It matches the Rfam family "Bacterial small subunit ribosomal RNA", at positions 1384 to 1482 of the family's 1533-position model. The record is from RNAcentral.